UAAAAUAAAAUAUUAUAUUUUAUAAAACAGGUAUUUUUUUUUUUUUUCUUUUUUUAGAGAUAAAUAGCACGCUACCCACUUCGUUUAUUUUAUUUAAAAAUAAACUUAGCUAGAAAUGCGAAUCAACUAGGAUUCGAACUUGGGUUUCGAAUACCAACCAUUAAAUUUUUUGCCACUUGCUUUAGGGAUGGUCGGUAAAACAGGUACUACUCUUAAGUUAUCUUUUUUAUAAGGAUAU
RNAcentral lists this long non-coding RNA (238 nucleotides) under Ananas comosus (pineapple). RNAcentral's name for it is "long non-coding RNA (ACOM_LNC007879)". Lineage: Eukaryota; Viridiplantae; Streptophyta; Magnoliopsida; Poales; Bromeliaceae. The record is from RNAcentral.